Molecule: ribosomal RNA, 482 nt
Filed under: uncultured bacterium
Lineage: Bacteria
Description: partial 16S ribosomal RNA
Rfam family: Bacterial small subunit ribosomal RNA
Source: RNAcentral
GACGAACGCUGGCGGCGUGCUUAACACAUGCAAGUCGAACGAUGAAGAAGAGCUUGCUCUUCGGAUUAGUGGCGAACGGGUGAGUAACACGUGACUAACCUGCCCCUUUCUCUGGGAUAACGCUCCGAAAGGAGUGCUAAUACCGGAUACUCACAUCGAGGCACAUGCCUUGAUGUGGAAAGUUUUUCGGAAAGGGAUGGAGUCGCGGCCUAUCAGCUUGUUGGUGAGGUAACGGCCCACCAAGGCGACGACGGGUAGCCGGCCUGAGGGGGGGACGGGCCACACUGGGACUGAGACAGGGCCCAGACUCCUGCGGGAGGCAGCAGUGGGGAAUAUUGCACAAUGGGCGAAAGCCUGAUGCAGCGACGCCGCGUGAGGGAUGAAGGUCUUCGGAUUGUAAACCUCUUUCAGUAGGGACGAAGCGAAAGCGACGGUACCUAAAGAAGAAGCACCGGCUAACUACGUGCCAGCAGCCGCCGUUA